GGCGGGCGCUGCGGGCCGGGCCCAGGUAGGCUCCGCGGGCGGCCCUGGCGGGAGCUCGGCCGGGAGGGGACGCCUGCGCACGCCGGGCCCCGCGGCGCCCCGUCGUUCCCCGGCGCUUGCUUUUUAGCGACCCUCCAACGCCUCGACUCUCCGCGAUGCCGCCGAAGCAAAGUAAAAGAAAACGGAAAACGUCUGGUUUCUGGGCGUUCUCUAACAGCCGGACCGCUCACAUUCUGGAAAACCUCUGUCAACACGCUUCCACCUCCGCAAAGGAAGCCCAUUUGGAAGAAAACUCUAACACAAGUAGACUUCACUUCGUUUUAGUUUGGCAUUUUAGAGAGAAUUUCCGAUUUAUUUUUGGUUUUAAGUCUGAUGUGAGGGAAGGAUAAAGAGAGCAUACUCCCACCUCCUCCGACUUCCAGUGUGCGUCUAAGAACAAUUGGAGAGGUAAUAGAACUGUUAAGCAGAAAACGUUUUUGUGGAGGAAAAAGGAUUGGGAAUGUACCUGUUGUUUUCACCCUAAACCAAAAGCUUGUUUAUUGUUACUGAUUAAAAGACUGUUUUGCAAAGAGCCCUAAGUAUUGCACCCAGAAGAUAUAAUUAAAUGUUAAUGAGCACAUCGAGUAAAUAACAAAAGCAAACCUGUCAUCUGUGGAGAACUGAAGACCUUUCAAAUGAAGGGAGAGCAAGAAAAUUAGGGAAAAUAGUAUCCUACAAAAGGUCUCAGGAAAUAAAGUAGAGAUUCUUGCCCUGGGCAGACAGUGAAUAUAAAAAGAGUUCACUGUCUGAGACUCCAAACAAAUAGAUUAUAAAAUAACAAUAGUCAGCAAAUGGGCUCAAGAAAUCUUUUUGGAGGGGUGGACAUGCUGUGAAACCAGAUUGUGGAGAUGUUUGCACAACUGUGUACAUUUACUAAAAAUUAUCGAACUCUGCACUUAUAAUGGGUGAAUUUUAUGGUACAUAAAUUGUAACUCAAUAAAGCUGUUAAAAUUAAGAAAAUAACACUAACAAGAGUCAUGUUCCAGGAAAUUACAUUUUUAUUACAAG
This 1047-nucleotide long non-coding RNA is filed under the name Equus asinus (donkey). RNAcentral's name for it is "lncRNA (ENSEASG00005030349.1)". Lineage: Eukaryota; Metazoa; Chordata; Mammalia; Perissodactyla; Equidae. The record is from RNAcentral.